GUGAAUCAUCGAAUUUUUGAACGCAAAUUGCACUCCCUGGUAUUCCGGGGAGUAUGCCUGUUUGAGGGUCGUUAGAAUAAAAAUUCGAGGCGUUGCUCUUUUUCUUACGGGUGAUCGCGUCGGAAUUGAGCUGUCUUUCUAAUGUUAAUUCAUGUAUAAGUGGCUUAAUUUUUAUCUAUCUGGUACGAUUAAAGCGUAUUUAAGAUUAACUUUGAUUAUUAAAGUGCGAUGAACGUACCAUUCGAUGUGAUACGUUUGACUUGAC
This 265-nucleotide unclassified non-coding RNA is filed under the name Glomeraceae sp. RNAcentral describes it as "partial contains 5.8S ribosomal RNA and internal transcribed spacer 2". The stretch from base 1 to 71 matches the Rfam family "5.8S ribosomal RNA", at positions 84 to 154 of the family's 154-position model. The record is from RNAcentral. Lineage: Eukaryota; Fungi; Glomeromycota; Glomeromycetes; Glomerales; Glomeraceae.